GGUCAAGUGACUAAGAGCAUAUGGUGGAUGCCUUGGCGAUGAUAGGCGACGAAAGACGUGAUAGCCUGCGAUAAGCUUCGGGGAGCUGGCAAAUAAGCUUUGAUCCGGAGAUUUCUGAAUGGGGGAACCCACCUCGCAAGAGGUAUCGUGCACUGAAUACAUAGGUGCUCGAAGCGAACCUGGAGAACUG
This 190-nucleotide ribosomal RNA is filed under the name Escherichia coli. Its description in RNAcentral is "partial 23S ribosomal RNA". It matches the Rfam family "Bacterial large subunit ribosomal RNA", at positions 1 to 195 of the family's 2925-position model. Lineage: Bacteria; Pseudomonadati; Pseudomonadota; Gammaproteobacteria; Enterobacterales; Enterobacteriaceae. The record is from RNAcentral.